Molecule: non-coding RNA, 2687 nt
Organism: Nothobranchius furzeri (turquoise killifish)
Lineage: Eukaryota; Metazoa; Chordata; Actinopteri; Cyprinodontiformes; Nothobranchiidae
Source: RefSeq, a predicted model, not a curated record
CAAGCAUUACUUUUGUGUUUAAAGAGCAAGUAACGUCUAAAUAAACUUUUUUUUUUCGCUGAUGAGCUGUAUAAAUGAGUGUCUAAUAGUGUUUUAAAUGUGUGUAAUCAUUAUUUUAGCAUUUUGGUGCAUUUUCUUUAAAAAUUAGAAAUUCUGCCUAAAUACCACAGUAUAGCGCCACCUUCAGCUUAAAACAUAGAGUUUGAGUCAUUUUGAAUAAAUUUUAGCCAAUGGCUAAAGAGAAAGAUACUACGUAAACCAGUAGAGUACUACGUAGCAGCUCUCUGUCAAAGUUAUGAAAGCAUCGAGAGUCUUGGCCACGCCUUGUGGCAAGUUGGGAGUUGGAUUUGCAAGCGAGUGUAGGACAGUUAGCAGUAGAUCAGCAUUAGCAUAUAGCAUUAGCAUAUCCUAAUCUUUAGCAUAGCUUUUAGUGUUAUACAUACUUAUUUAGUGUUAGCUUGGCUGUUGGAUAUUGUAGUUUAGUUAGUGUUUGGCUGUUAGUGUAAUUAGGAAAGUAGUUCGGGUUUAGUGCUCCAUAUCGUGUUAGUGUGGUGAGAAGGUGUAGUGUAGUGGGUUCGGUGGCUCUGUGGGGUUGCACUCCUUUCCGCUGGACUUAGAAAUUAGGCGCCAGCGGUUGCGCGCAAUCGGUGUCUGGAAAACAGUCAGCUCCCGCCUGGUGCUGUAGUUUGCAACCAGCAUUUUACCCGCGAUUCCUUCGCCAACAUGAUGGAGUUUGAACAGGGUUAUUCUGCACGUCUCCGUUUGAAGAGGGAGGCCGUGCCCACCGUGGCUCUUCCGCGAUUCAGAUGCAGCCUACCGACUCUGCUCCCCCACCAUGGCGGGCUCCAGUCUGAGGUGAGUAAGCUAAAUAAAAUUUUUAACAUCUUCUAAAGACAAUUCCCUACCUAAAUGCAAAGUUUGAGAGACGUGGUUCACUUAAUUUAGCUAACAUCAGUCUGCACUGCCUUCGGGCUGAUUUGUCAAAAAUGUGGAACGAGAUGUGGCCGACGAAACGGUCCACAUGACUAUUACUGUCUGGCUCAGAGAAAAUUCAGGUUGUUUUUGUGUCAGUCCGCAAUUCUGCAACAGUGGCUCUAGCUAACGCAGCACUAGUUGACAUACAUCAUUACAGCGUGAAAUCCAGCACAGCGUGACCCGGUUCUGUGAGGAAUUCUGUUCAGGAGGUCGCAUUUCAGGCUCUCUUCACAUCAUAUGUGACUGACUUUUACGUUAUAAUAACGAUCACACACUAGGAAUGUUAUAAAGUGCCUAUAUAGGACAGUUUCUUUUGUAUAUUAUCUGACUUUAUAAACUCCAACAACAACGUGCUUCAAUUUUUUUUCAGGCUAAAUCUAUCCAAGACAUUGGCUGUCAGACUGAUUUAGUAGUCUGCAAGAACGCAUUUGUCCAGGCUGACGUGAAGCCUUACCUGUAGCAAAGAUGAAUUAUUUUUAAUAAUCUUCUAAACAUUUUAUUAUCACGUUCUAGUUUUAAUUUGUUUUACAGAUUAUUGUUACACGUGAUUUUAUGCUCUUUUAAUCAUUUAUAAAUGUGCUGCUUCUUUGUUUUUACAUAGCCACCCAGAAUAGAGCUCACAGCCGCAGUGUGUCUUGUGACACAGGGACCAUGACGGAAAUUCAUCUUCCAGAAAGUCUGAGAGCAGCGUCCACACCCCUGAAAAGACCAAGAUGUGAGGUGUCUGCUGUUGAUUCCAGCUUCCACCUCAGUGACAGUGCAAGCUCAGUGAACUGUUCAAGGUAAAAAAAAAUUAAAACAUUUCAGAAUUUUUAAGAUAUUAACAAUUAAAUAUGUGAUUACAUCCUGACAUCAUGAAGGGGGCUACUGAUUCUGGCCCUGUGACACUUGGUGGUGACGUGUGAGCUGAUUCACCUGGACACUCAGCAAAAUAUCGACUCUACACCAUGAGGCAGGCAUGCGUUAAUACUCUAUAAGAGCACAUAAGCAUGAGGAUGUCCUCACACACCUGUAACCUAUCAGCUCAUCUGGCAGAAUAGAGAGAGAAGAGACAACACCACAUAUCCUGUUCCUGGAAAGCCUUCAGCCAUCCUUCGAUGACUGAGAACCUCCAUCAGCUCUGUCUCCUGUCUGCCUACAAUUAUUAUAAUAAAUAUUGUGUUUGACAAGUUUUUUGUGCUGCCAAAUGUCUCAUUUUGAUUCCAGUUUUGAUAUUUUAAUGGAUAUUUAUAAAUUACAUUGAUUAUCACAUUUUAGUUGCAUGUUUAACUAGCUCUAUUGUGAUGAAUUAAACUAGCACCUCACUGUUAAAAGCUCGUUUUAAUUUCAAGCAUGUUUAUGUAUUUAUGGACAUGAACAAAAACAGGAAAUAUGUAAAAUGAGAUUUAUUUAAAUAAUAUAACAAAUAAGGGGGAAAGAGUCAUUGAAAGGCACAUUCUUCUGGAAGCUCCUGAUCCUGACGACGCCAGCAGAGGAGACCACCUGCAGACACCAGAGGAUCACCUACAACCAAGAGCAGCUAGUAUCAGUAAAUAAAUAAUGAAAUCAGGGCAGUAUUAGUUGGCUGAACACAUUACAGAAUAAUUUUCUCAUGGGGUAUUUUCAUAACUUUCUAUGCAGCAGACUGUAACUUGAGCCCAGGGCUCCUGGAGAGCUGCUAUCCAGCACGUUUCAGUGGUUUUCCUGCUUUAACAGGUUAGAUUAGCUGUUAA